Molecule: non-coding RNA, 208 nt
Organism: Cinara cedri
Lineage: Eukaryota; Metazoa; Arthropoda; Insecta; Hemiptera; Aphididae
Source: the annotation of a GenBank genome assembly
CGUGGAACUCGCGGUGACUGGCGAAAAGUGUCUGUAACGGUUGCCGCAAUACGCGAUUCAGCUCUUUGCGAACUCCCGAGAUUCUCUGGUUCGUGCAUAAUCCCAACGAUUGUCUAUCGAUUAGAUACACGGGAAACGAGGACUACCGCGGACACGGCAAAUACAUUUGGACGGCGCCGUGACCGGAGAGCCAAAGACUUUGACGCAU